This is a non-coding RNA of Rhodocollybia butyracea, 103 nucleotides long. The record is from the annotation of a GenBank genome assembly. Lineage: Eukaryota; Fungi; Basidiomycota; Agaricomycetes; Agaricales; Omphalotaceae.
UUCCUGGUAGUAUGUUGGUUAGUACGCGCGCCUGUCAUUUGAUACUUGUAUCCGAAAUAUUCAUUACUCACGUGAAAGCAAGGUUCGACUCCCAGCCAGGGAG